CAGGGCUGUCCAACCUGCGGCCCCCCCAGAUGUUGCUGAACUACAACUCCCAUGAUUCCCUGGCUAUCUAUUUAAUUGAAAGACUCAUGGGAGUUGUAGUUCAGCAACAUCUGGGGGGGCCGCAGGUUGGACAGGCCUG
Molecule: non-coding RNA, 139 nt
Organism: Pelobates cultripes (western spadefoot toad)
Lineage: Eukaryota; Metazoa; Chordata; Amphibia; Anura; Pelobatidae
Source: the annotation of a GenBank genome assembly